AGUGGCGGACGGGUGAGUAACGCGUGGGUAACCUGCCCUGUACAGGGGGACAACAGUUAGAAAUGACUGCUAAUACCGCAUAAGCGCACAGGACCGCAUGGUCCGGUGUGAAAAACUCCGGUGGUACAGGAUGGACCUGCGUCUGAUUAGGUAGUUGGCGGGGUAACGGCCCACCAAGCCGACGAUCAGUAGCCGACCUGAGAGGGUGACCGGCCACAUUGGGACUGAGACACGGCCCAAACUCCUACGGAAGGCAGCAG
This 260-nucleotide ribosomal RNA is filed under the name uncultured bacterium. RNAcentral's name for it is "partial 16S ribosomal RNA". It matches the Rfam family "Bacterial small subunit ribosomal RNA", at positions 94 to 354 of the family's 1533-position model. The record is from RNAcentral.